This 483-nucleotide ribosomal RNA is filed under the name uncultured bacterium. RNAcentral's name for it is "partial 16S ribosomal RNA". It matches the Rfam family "Bacterial small subunit ribosomal RNA", at positions 28 to 507 of the family's 1533-position model. The record is from RNAcentral.
GACGAACGCUGGCGGCGUGCUUAACACAUGCAAGUCGAACGAUGAAGCGGGUGCUUGCACUCGUGGAUUAGUGGCGAACGGGCGAGUAACACGUGAGUAACCUGUCCUUUUCUUUGGGAUAACGGCUGGAAACGGCUGCUAAUACUGGAUAUUCAGGCUGCAUCGCAUGGUGUGGUUUGGAAAGGUUUUUUCUGGGAUUGGGUGGGCUCGCGGCCUAUCAGCUUGGUGGUGGGGUGAUGGCUUACCAAGGCUUUGACGGGUAGGCGGCCUGAGAGGGUGGUCGGUCGCACUGGGACUGAGCUACGGCCCAGACUCCUACGGGAGGCAGCAGUGGGGAAUAUUGCCCAAUGGACGAAAGUUUGAUGCCGCGACGCCGCGUGGAGGGUGUAGGCCUUCGGGUUGUGAACUCCUUUUUCUCGCGAAAAAGGCACAGUUUUGGCUGUGUUGAUGGUAGUGGGGGAAGAAGCGCCGGCUAACUACGUG